This 445-nucleotide ribosomal RNA is filed under the name uncultured bacterium. RNAcentral's name for it is "partial 16S ribosomal RNA". It matches the Rfam family "Bacterial small subunit ribosomal RNA", at positions 354 to 796 of the family's 1533-position model. The record is from RNAcentral.
GUGAGGAAUAUUGGACAAUGGGCGCAAGCCUGAUCCAGCCAUGCCGCGUGCAGGAAGACGCAUCUAUGGUGUGUAAACGGCUUUUGUACGGGAAGAAACACUCCCUCGUGAGGGAGCUUGACGGUACCGUAAGAAUAAGGAUCGGCUAACUCCGUGCCAGCAGCCGCGGUAAUACGGAGGAUCCAAGCGUUAUCCGGAAUCAUUGGGUUUAAAGGGUCCGUAGGCGGUUUAAUAAGUCAGUGGUGAAAGCCCAUCGCUCAACGAUGGAACGGCCAUUGAUACUGUUAGACUUGAAUUACAAGGAAGUAACUAGAAUAUGUAGUGUAGCGGUGAAAUGCUUAGAUAUUACAUGGAAUACCAAUUGCGAAGGCAGGUUACUACUUGUGGAUUGACGCUGAUGGACGAAAGCGUGGGGAGCGAACAGGAUUAGAAACCCUGGUAGUCC